RNAcentral lists this ribosomal RNA (253 nucleotides) under uncultured bacterium. Its description in RNAcentral is "partial 16S ribosomal RNA". It matches the Rfam family "Bacterial small subunit ribosomal RNA", at positions 524 to 776 of the family's 1533-position model. The record is from RNAcentral.
UACAGAGGUCUCAAGCGUUGUUCGGAUUCAUUGGGCGUAAAGGGCGCGUAGGCUGCGGGGCAAGUCGGGUGUGAAAUCUCAGAGCUCAACUCUGAAACUGCACUCGAUACUGCUUUGCUCGAGGACUGGAGAGGAGAUUGGAAUUCACGGUGUAGCAGUGAAAUGCGUAGAUAUCGUGAGGAAGACCAGUGGCGAAGGCGGAUCUCUGGACAGUUCCUGACGCUGAUGCGCGAAGGCCAGGGGAGCAAACGGG